GCUCAGCAACAUUGUUUCUAAGCAACAUGAGAAAGCAGCCAUCCUGCAAGAAGCCAUAGCCUAAUUUCCCUGGCACAUAAACUGAGAGGCAGAGACAAGAAAGGAAGAGCAACAUCAAGAGGGAAUUCCUCUUCAUAAAUACCCAAGGUCAGAGAGGCUCCAAACUCAGAUCCUGAGGCCUGUUGCAAGAACUGACACAGAUCCAUUGAGUUUAUAUUACAAUGACAAAUACAAUAUGGAAAGAGAACUCCUGAAGAAGCAGAUCAAAAAUAUCCUGUCCCGUUACAACUUAGCCCUCAGUGUUGCUUUGAUGUGGUUAAGUGACUCAGAUGCUCAGACUACACUGACAAGAGAGAAAAUAACAGCAUCCCUAUAGAAGAGAUCUUUGAGAUUUACAGCAUGAGACCCUCAGCAACUCACUGACAGAGCUCUGCAAAAUGCAGCAAAAAUGAGAGUAACUUGAGGAGCAUUAAAGAAUUUGAAGCCAGAACCUCUUACCUCCAAGCAAGUAUCGCAAGUGGGCUCAUGCAGUAGGUCUGUAAACCAGCCUGGUGGCUUAGGGUGCCUGGUGGCACUCUAAGCCCAAGAUGAUAUGAGGAUCUCUCUCUCCCCUGAGGCAUCAAGUACCAGACACCAACAGCACAUCAAAAGCAAGGCCCUCAUUCAGCAAGGAGAGAUAAAAAGGACUGCAAUCAACUGGACACACUGACCAGAGGAAAGCAACACCGUGACAAAGGAGCUACAGAAGCAAAACAAGGAAUCCCUCCAAGGAAGCCUGGAACAAACUCAGAAGUGUUUGAGCAAAUGAAGCAAAUGAAGCAAAGACACAACAAAGACCUAGACUUCAUGUACUUCACUUAGUUGUAGAAUGCAAGUACCUACCCUUUUGGUACUCCCUCUUCUGUUGGCUGGUUAGCACCUGAUUGUCUGCACACAAAAAUCAAGCCCAGCACAUCAUAUGGUUUGCUGCUCACAUAUUCAGACAGCCAGAACUAGAGAGCUGAAAGGUGCUUGUGCGUGCACCAGAGGAUUGAUGAAUCAUAGCCUUCUGCUGCCUUGACUGGAAAUUCCUCCUUUCCUGAGCUAUAUUGUCUCCAGAAUGAAGAAAGAAAGGUCUUUCAGUGACCAAAUCAAUUAGUCAGAACAACUUCAAAGUCUUUCUUCAGCUAUGCAGAAAGCAAUGGACAGAGCUCAGAUGCAAUGCAGAGUCAUGAAUUUUUUUCUACAGGACCCAGAAGAGAUCUCUGAUCAUAUGUGCAUCCUAUGCAUACAUUUGGUGCCUACCAUUGCACUGCAAAACUACCUAUAGUGGGAAAGCUAAGAGACCAUUCUGGUUCUGUUCUUCCUAAGCACCUGAAAUCAUGGAAAAGGGGCAAGUGGGGAAUUGAACAGACAUUAUCUACUUUUUCUCCUGUAAUUUAAAAGGAAAAUUGUACAAUUCACAAUUCAUUGCCCAGUUUAUAACACUGAAAUCAGAUGGUUUCAACUAACACAUUUGACUGGACAACACAGCAGCUGAGGUACAGCUUUAUCGUCUGCUGUACCAGAGAUUCUUACUUCUUAAAUUGCGCCACACAAGUUUGUGAGUCAGAGCCUUUACACCACAGCCAGAGUUACUAGAGCCCUGCCCAUGCAAGCAAGCACAAAUUUUUGCUAUAGUAAUAUUAAGACAAGUCACUACUGAUUCUCUAGCUAGUCUGAAAAUUCUCACUUACUAUGGUGAAGAGCUUUUUCCUAGCCAAAUGUCAUGUGGAAACAUCUAGCAUCCAUCAUGGAAAAGCAAAUUAUUUUUUCUCCCCCAGACUGGUUUAUCUGUUGGACAAAAAUAUAACCAAUCUGUUCUGAAAAGCAUCAAUUUUGUCAGGUUGGAAAGUAAUGUAAGUCCACAGGACUAUGUAUCUUCAAGGCAGCUGGCAGCAACAACAAUUACUAAAGCCAUGAGAAAAUCAGUUUUGUUCCAUCUCUCUAAAACACUGUUAAAGAUGCUGGCUUCACAAAGGGAGUCAUGGUUGAAAGGGUGCUUAGCAAUCCUCAAAACAGAAACUAGCCCAGACAGGCUGUUAUGGAGGUGAUCUGCCAGGUAGUUCCACACAGGUAUUUCCACCAGCAGUGCUAAACCCACCAUCCAUUUAAGUGAAGCAAGUGCGUGGUGUGGUGUGGUUGCCAAAGGCAUCCAGGGCUAGAUUUCAUGGCCUUUCCUAGGGACUUGCCAGCAGACAAAUAUCAAGUCCUGAACAGCAUACUUACAGUAACAGCAGCAAAUCAGGCAAGCAAACAUCAUGACAAGGAAAUCCAGCCGGAUGAAGGCAGGUGAUCUGAGGUAACACAGUAUGGAACAAAAGGGCUGAAUAUACUAAAGAGGACAGAAGGGUAUCUAACCUGUUUGGAAAUGGCGAGGGCACAUUAGCCCCUGUCAUUUAAUAUGGAUACAGUUACAAAAAAACAUCAGUGAAGUGGUUUGUGAUGGAAGGCUGUGAAGGUUUCAUAUUUCUCCCAUCAAAUUCCCCAGAAGACACUCUUGUCAUACAGCACUGAAAGCACUUUUCUUUGGCCUGAAACCUAAGCAAAGCUGCGCUCCACUAAGUCUCCCAAACUGUGCCCUGCCCUCCAUCCUUACAGCCACAAACACUCCUUUGUUCCAUUGGAGGUGCAGGCUAUGUAGUUGAAAAUAGAGAUAUUCUAAGUAAAUUGGAUCUACAAAGGUGUUCAUCUGUGUGCCAAGUUACUAAUGGAUCAUGUUGACAAGGUGUUCACAUGCUUGAAUGAGUUCCUCCAAAUAUGUAAGACUAUAAAUCUAGUUUUGGAGUGCAGCAGUUUGUUUUGAUCGGAAGCCUAAUCUACUGGUGAUAUAAGUCACUUUUAUAACCAUCAUUGCAUAUUCCACGAAGCAGUUUGGUUUUCAAAGUCUAAGAUUUAGGUGCAAGAAAAUGAUAAUCGGAACAGAACAAGAUUUAUUACAAACCUGCACCAAACAGGGAAAAAACAGAGGAAAAGUUUCAAAAUGGAGAAACGGAGGAAUAUAGUUUUUUCUAGCCUACUAGCUGUGCUUUAGUGUUAAAGCACUCUGCUUUAGCAUUAAACAGAAAUUCUUCUGAGUUCCAGAUAGACAGCAACUGGAGUUUAAUGCUGUUUUCUCCCUCUAAAUUUUUCAAACAUACUUUCAAAGGGAAAACACUGAACCAAGUGACCUAAACUGAUUUACAAUGUUAGUUAAUAAUUCAGAUACACUGAUAAACAUCUAGUAAGAACCACUUGAUUUCAAUUUUUAUAGUCUUCUGGGAUGCUAUAAUUAAUCACACACCAGGAAGAGACUGAGACUUUUAAUCACUACUUCCUCCUCACACGUCUGUGUUAAAAUCUGUACACAAUAGAAAGGAUUAGUGGGCAAAGGCUAACAACACCACGUGAGAUGGAGACUUUUCCUGUCUCCAGGAUAAUGUGUGUGAAAAAGUAUUGAAAUUGAAGCAAAGUUUAUCUGGUGUUACAAAAGGAAAGUUUGCCAUGGGAUAAGUUUGGACAAGUGGCAAUCAGCACAGGGUGGAGAAGGAGAGGAACAGACCUACACCAGAAGCUUCUCAGGUCUGCUGAGUUUGAGAGCUUCCAGGCAAAAGAGGUUCUAUAAAGAACCAUUUUUAUAUACUCAUACCUGUACCUGUCUCACAUUAGGUCAGAUGGACUGCAUGAAACAGUUAACAGCAGCCCAAAGUGUAGUCUACCCCACAGUUACAUGGUAACUCAACUUGCACACAGAAUCAGCAAUUGCGGCGUAAAACACAGAAAAAAUAAGAGUCCCCCAUGGGAAAUGCAGUAAACAUCAUAACUACAAUAAAGACAGAAUGUGAGAAAUUCCCACAACUUAGAAUGGUUU
This is a non-coding RNA of Taeniopygia guttata (zebra finch), 3868 nucleotides long. The record is from RefSeq and is a predicted model, not a curated record. Lineage: Eukaryota; Metazoa; Chordata; Aves; Passeriformes; Estrildidae.